Molecule: small nuclear RNA, 107 nt
Organism: Balaenoptera musculus (blue whale)
Lineage: Eukaryota; Metazoa; Chordata; Mammalia; Artiodactyla; Balaenopteridae
Source: Ensembl
AUGCUCACUUCAGCAGCACAUGUACUAAAAUUGGAACGAUACAGAGAAGAUUAGCAUGGCCCCUGUGUAAGGAUGACGUGAAAAUUCGUGAAGUGUUCCAUGUUUAA